This 162-nucleotide ribosomal RNA is filed under the name uncultured Oscillibacter sp. RNAcentral describes it as "partial 16S ribosomal RNA". It matches the Rfam family "Bacterial small subunit ribosomal RNA", at positions 364 to 542 of the family's 1533-position model. Lineage: Bacteria; Bacillati; Bacillota; Clostridia; Eubacteriales; Oscillospiraceae. The record is from RNAcentral.
UUUCGCAUGGAGGCACUCUGACGCAGUAACGCCGCGUGGGGGAAGAAGACCUUCGGGUUGUAAACCUCUUUUUAUGGAGACGAGUGAGGACGGUAUUCAUAGAAUAAGUCUCGGCUAACUACGUGCCAGCAGCCGCGGUAAUAGACGUAGGUGGCAAGCGUU